RNAcentral lists this ribosomal RNA (490 nucleotides) under uncultured bacterium. Its description in RNAcentral is "partial 16S ribosomal RNA". It matches the Rfam family "Bacterial small subunit ribosomal RNA", at positions 30 to 507 of the family's 1533-position model. The record is from RNAcentral.
AUUGAACGCUGGCGGCAGGCCUAACACAUGCAAGUCGAACGGUAACAGGAAGAAGCUUGCUUCUUUGCUGACGAGUGGCGGACGGGUGAGUAAUGUCUGGGAAACUGCCUGAUGGAGGGGGAUAACUACUGGAAACGGUAGCUAAUACCGCAUAAUGUCGCAAGACCAAAGAGGGGGACCUUCGGGCCUCUUGCCAUCGGAUGUGCCCAGAUGGGAUUAGCUAGUAGGUGGGGUAACGGCUCACCUAGGCGACGAUCCCUAGCUGGUCUGAGAGGAUGACCAGCAACACUGGAACUGAGACACGGUCCAGACUACUACGGGAGGCAGCAGUGGGGAAUAUUGCACAAUGGGCGCAAGCCUGAUGCAGCUAUGCCGCGUGUAUGAAGAAGGCCUUCGGGUUGUAAAGUACUUUCAGCGGGGAGGAAGGGAGUAAAGUUAAUACCUUUGCUCAUUGACGUUACCCGCAGAAGAAGCACCGGCUAACUCCGUG